GAGGCCGAAUGAUACUGGGCGACGCCAUG
RNAcentral lists this non-coding RNA (29 nucleotides) under Mus musculus (house mouse). Lineage: Eukaryota; Metazoa; Chordata; Mammalia; Rodentia; Muridae. The record is from RNAcentral.